RNAcentral lists this long non-coding RNA (5199 nucleotides) under Lynx pardinus (Iberian lynx). The record is from RNAcentral. Lineage: Eukaryota; Metazoa; Chordata; Mammalia; Carnivora; Felidae.
AGACAUGCCAGUAGAACUCUAAAGGCAGAAUGUCCUUCCACCUGUUUUAUGCUGUAAGACAGACUUCCAAGUGCGAGGCGGUGUGGAGGGCUGUUUCCUUGAAUGGCAGCUGAAUGCACCAGCAGGAUCCCUGGCAGCAAUGCCCAGGCACUGAAGCUGGGCAUUCAGGAGAACUAAAUGGAGAAAAGAAACUUGAGCAAACCACUUCCUGGAACACUGAGAACCUAAAUGGGAAAUUAAGAAGUACCAGAUUCUCUGUACUCUCAUACCAGCCAAGGUCAGAUUUCUAAGCUCCUAUCUAUUCUAAUCUUCCCCCCCAAAAAGUGCUAUGACAAUUUGUGAAGGUAAUAAAAGUUACCUUUUUUUUUUUUUUCCUUUUAGAAAAUAGUGUUGGUUACUGCUUUAUUAUGCUCUUACUGGAGAAUUUUUCCCGCAUCCCAAACAACUUUGUACCACAAAAGACUUUGACCUAGGGAGACAAGUGGCUUCUUCUACAUCUCAAAGGGACAGCUCCUUAGGUAAAAGGCGUUGGAUAUUCCAGUUUGCUUGUUGAACAUUCUCCCAAGAUAAUCACAUUAACAGAAAGCUGGGGGGCGAAAGUCUGGCCUCUGCCUGCUCAUCAGACAAAAAUCUUACCACUCAGCAGGACACCUACACAGGGAGAAUUUGGCGCAGGAAUAGCUGCCACAGUUAAGUACUCAUUAGCAGUCAUGAGGAUAAAUUGAUAGCAAAAGACCUAGAACUCACAGGCUUGUGUUAAUUUGGUGCUAUCUGCCUGCCAUCCGCAACACUAUUUUCAAACUUAGAAGCCUAGCAGUUUCAGAAAGUAAUAACCACAGUCCCAGGGAACAGGGAAAAAUUCCUCCAGCUACUUUCAGUUUUUCAGGAAGCUUGAAAGUAAUUGUUUACUUAAAAUAAAGCCUCAGGGAUGACUUAGUUAGGGGAAAAAAAAAUCUUGAUUCCUUGAUUUCCUUUUGGGAAGGUAAAUUCAUUGUGCUUGCAAAAUCUUUCAAAGCAGGGAUUGUGCAGGGGAAAUCAUAUUAAAAGGGGUUUUCAGUGGGGAAGAGUUUAGCAAACACUGUCCGACAGAAAACUGUUUUAGGGAGGUAACUUUUCAAAUUGUUUCCAUAAACAUUUCACCAACAGUGGCUUACUUCCCAUUCUGCUGUGCAUCUAAUUCAAUCAAAGUACUGAAGACUUACAAAGCUUGUUGGAGGAGUGGCUGUGGGAAAUUCCAGAGCUGCUACCGCCUGUGGAGACUUCCUUUGCUGAGUGUCUCAGAUCUCAGACACUCAGAUCCAGAUCCCACGGCCUUACUUGCCAGAGCUGCAAAGAAAUGAUAGAAAUUCUGUAGAAGUAGACCUUGCUGCAGCCAGGGAGCCUUCUCACAAAGUUAGGGAUUCUUCAAAGAGGUUUUACCAAAGCAGAGGCACAGCAUGCAUACCGACUUCCGCAGAUUCAAGAAAUGUAGGCAACGACAUUUCUUAUUUGCUUUCCUCUCAUUUGAUCAGCAAGAACAAAAUCAGUUGUUUUCAAUUGGCACAAAAGUGUAUUUAUUCAUUAACUCAUCAGGCGGUGCUCACGUACCUAUCAUGUGCCGGGCUCUGUGCUAAGUGCUGGGGAUACAAAGAUGAAUGAGACUCGUGGUGCCACAAGCAGGGUUGUCAAAAACCGACCUCAUUCUGCGUUGCUUGGACAGGCCAGCUGGGACUUGGGCUUCUCAUUUCGCACAGAAGGGAUUGCACCCAAAUUUCUCACGGGACCGGUUUCUGCUUUCCAUAAAACCAAGGUCUUCAGGUGCUGGAUAACUGAUUCUCCUAGUAUCUAGUUAGACCUAGUAUCUAACCGCAAACUGGAUGAUAUCCAAGAAGUUCGAUUAUUCCCCCCCAUCUAGGUCAUUCCCACUCUUGCCCUAAAUGCAGCAAGGGGACAAAAUCCCUUCCUUGGAAUGUCCACCCAUGGUGUGUCCAGCAGAGAAUCUUGGCCCAUCUCUUCUGUUUUCUUGUUCAUUUUUGCUUUGUAAAUUUCCCCAGUAAAGCCUAGAAGAUUUCAGGGAAUUCAUUGCAAACCUUGUUGCAUGACAGGCGAUGAGCAUGAAAGCAUCUGUCUUAUAGAACAAUGCUUCCCAGCUUCUGUAAUACUACUCAGCACAAUGCUGAAAUCACCUGUUCCAGAACAAAUCCUGUCCUUUGACAUGAAGGAUUUAAUUUUCAGUUCUGGUGGGAUCUGGCCAAGGGACGGAGUUGGGAAACACUUCAGGGGGUCAGCACUCCUUCCCGGCAGAGGACUGAGGAGUUUGUGCCAUGGAACUCCAGGGUUCCUUCUCUAACAGUUCAGCUCCCAUAGACCAUGCCUGUGGGACUAAGCCUCCCACAACCACUGAUCACAUACAUGUUUUUUUCAUGUGUUCAUUAGUUUACACACUUAAUCAGAGCUGUUUUUUUUUCAACGUUUAUUUAUUUUUCGGACAGAGAGAGACAGAGCAUGAACGGGGGAGGGGCAGAGAGAGGAGACACAGAAUCGGAAACAGGCUCCAGGCUCCGAGCCAUCAGCCCAGAGCCUGACGCGGGGCUCGAACUCACGGACCGCGAUAUCGUGACCCUGGCUGAAGUCAGACGCUUAACUGCGCCACCCAGGCGCCCCUAUCAGAGCUGUUUUAAGACUUAAGAAAGAUGAUGGACUGGAAAGGGACUUGAAAGACUAUAAAGCUCUAUCCAAGUAACAUUAUUUGGAUAUCAAAGGGAUAAUUACCAUAAGUUAUCAGUUCCAUUUUUUUGUUGUUUGUUUUUAAGCUAAGAACUUAUUCCCCCGUGAAGGCUUGUUAUAAAGCUCAGAAUAAAAUACAUGUAUGUUAACCUGCUUCAGCUGAAGUGAGUUGGAGGGGUGAGACUCCAAGGAUUCAGAGGAACACUGAAAAAUACUGUAGGAGUGGCACCGCACUGGGCUCUGCACUGACAGUGUAGAGCCUGCUUGGGAUUUCUCUCUUCCUCUCUCUCUGCCCCUCCCGGCUUGCUCUCUCUCCCUCUCUGUCAAAAUACAUACAUACAUACAUAAACAAACAAACAAACAAAAAAGAAACUCCCUGCGAUUUCUGCCAAAAGGGUAAAAGAAUUUAGAAGUUUCUUUAAAAAAAUAAAUCUCAGCUGUUCUGCAGCUUGGCCAUGAUGGUGAAUACACAAGCCUACACAUGAGAUAAAAUUGCAUAAAAAAAUAUGCUCACACACAAAGGAGUACAUGUAAAACUGGUGAAAUCUGAAUAAGAUCCAUGGAAUGUAUCAAUGACAGUUUUCUGGUUGUGAUAUUGUAUUAUAGCUUUGUAAGAUGUUGCAACCGGAGAAAACUGGCUGAAGGGUACACCAGGGCUCCCUGUAUCAGUUCUUCCAACUGCAGGUGGUUCUACAAUUAUCUGAAAAUAAAAAAUUUUAUCAUAAAUAAAUAAAUAAAUAAGUCCAUGGCACGAAUUUCUCAUCCUGUCAUUUCCCUCCUUCUGAAAUCACAGAAUGGUCAGACAAAAUGGUCAAACAAAAACUUACGUCUGACCUGCAGCUGAGCCUCUUUGGUGUUCAUAUUGCUCGGCAUAGGCAGGUGUAUCAGGGAACCUUCAGGUUUAAGUAAUAGAAAAUGAUAACCCAACUGACUUAAGCGACAAGGAAUAUGCAGUACGUUACAUAAUACGUCUUGAGUAGGGUAGUCCCAAGGUCACUUGGAUUCAGUAGCUCACCAUCAUUAAUCAAAGACCUACAUUCUUUCCAUCUUUCUACCCUACCAUCUGUAACAUGUUAAUUUAGUCCUUAGGCAAGCUUCGUUAGCAAAUGGCUGCAAUCCUACCAUGCCGUAUCAUUUUCAUAAGUUUCAAUUUAAGAGCAAGGAAACGUUUGUGGAUCUUUCUGCCACUUGCUACCCACUUAUUUUUAUUUUUAUUGGCCAGGAUCAAGUCACAAGCACUUCCCUACAUGAAUCACUGGCCAAGGGGAUAGUUUCACCAUUAUCCUUAGAUAGAGUCCCUGGGGGUGGGAGAUGCUUAUAGCUAACAAAAAUCCACACAUCCGCACUCCUCCAGUGAGUAAGAGACAGGGGUGGACCGGAGAUGGAUGGGCAACCCAUUACCAAGGAGCCACAAUGAUGUGGGGUGAGAGUUAUUCUAGAAGAUUUCCAGGCAUAUCUUUCAAUAGUGCAGCCAUUGAAUCCCCUAGAAAAUUUUGAGUCAAGCUCAGAAGAUGAUGAAGAUGAAGCAGGUACCAGAGCACCUAGAACAACUGGAAGGAACAUAAUUUUACUGCCAAUUCCUGAUCCCACACCAAGGAGAACAAUGAGUCCAGCUUCCCAUGGAAGCCUGGGGAACUCAGAACUAGGAGGUAAGCAAGGGAAAGAGGCUGCCUUAACAGAAACCCAGAGAAUCAAGCUCCUCCCAGGAACUGGCAGGGCUGAACUUGUUGUUAAAGAUCCUGUCCUGGGUUUAAAGGUGAGCAUUUUUUUUUUUUUGCUUUGUUUUGUUUUGCUUGAGUGAGGGUAGAUUUAAGGUAAAAUGAUGUAGGGGCGCCUGGGUGGCUCAGUCGGUUGAGCGUCCGGCUUCGGCUCAGGUCAUGAUCUCACCGUUUGUGAGUUCAAGCCCCACGUCUGGCUCUGUACUGACAGCUCAGAGCCUGGAGCCUGCUUCAGAUUCUGUGUGCCCCUCUCUCUCUGCCCCACCCCUGCUUGUGCUCUGCCUCUCUCUCUUUCAAAAAAAAAAAAUGAAUAAACAUAAAAAAAAAUUUUAAGUAAAAUGAUGUGGAAGGGUUAUUUUUUUAAUAAAAUAAUUAAAAUUUUUUUUAAUGUUUAUUCACUUUUUGAGAGACAGAGACAGAGUGUGAGCAGGGCAGGGGCAGAGAGAGAGAGAGAGGGAGACACAGAAUCCUAAGCAGGGUCCAGGCUCUGUGCUAAUAGCAGAGAGCCCAACGCGGGGCUUGUACCCACAACCUGUGAGAUCAUGACCUGAGCUGAAGUUGGACACUUAACCGACUGAGCCAUCCCAGGCGCCCCACAUAAUAAAACAAUUUUAAAAGUGAGGAAAUGCAACAGUUGCCUUUCAGAUUAUUUAUUUCCCAGUCAUCAGAGAUUUCUUUUUUAUUUACCCCAAAUUUCUGACUUACAAGCCUAGCACCUAGUGCAGUAUUUGUCAUUGAUUCCUUGCUUGAUUGUGUAAGAUAAAAUGCCUUGGAA